This 837-nucleotide ribosomal RNA is filed under the name Triticum aestivum (bread wheat). Its description in RNAcentral is "partial small subunit ribosomal RNA". The record is from RNAcentral. Lineage: Eukaryota; Viridiplantae; Streptophyta; Magnoliopsida; Poales; Poaceae.
AUGAGAGUUCCUGACCACAACCUUGCUUUCAUCCAAACACAAAAGCAAAAGCUUCACAGCCUUGCGAUUGUGAUAAAACCACACUGUUCUCGCUCGGCUCAGGCCUCACGCGCGAACAUGAGGGUCUUCGGGCUCCUCGCUUUCGCCGGCUGCGCGGCGCUGCUCGCGGGUGCCGGCGUGCCGUCGAUCAUCACCCAGGAGAAGUUCGACGCCAUGCUGAGCAACCGCAGCAAAGGCAGCUGCGAGGGUGGCGCGUUCUACACCUACGACGCGUUCGUCAAGGCCGUGAGCCUUCGGCACCACCGGGGACGACAAGACCCGCAGACGGGAGCUCGCCGCCUUCUUCGGGCAGACCUCCCACGAAACCGUUGCGACUUCAACUACCGACAAGCCGGGGAGGCGUUGGGGCUGGACCUCCUAGACAACCCGGACCUGAUGUCCACGAACCCCGUCGUGGCGUUCAAGACGGCAAUCUGGUGGUGGAUGACGCCUCAGGCGCCCAAACCAUCGUGUCACGCCGUGAUGACCAAUGGUUGGACGCCUUCUGCCCAAGAUGUCGACGCGGGGAUGCUCCCGGGCUACGGCAUGACCACCAACAUCUUCAACGGCUCGGCGGAGUGCGGCAAGGGCUACGCGACCCCGCCGGCCAAGGACCGGGCCCGCUACUACAAGAUGUACUGCGACAUGCUCAAAGUUGAGUACGGUGAAAACUACGGGUGCGGGCACCAAAACUUAACAAAGACGUUGUUGCCUCACGGAGAAUCUUCGCCUCCUCGGAACAGAACCGGGCUUCUGGUCGGCAUCUCUGUAGGUUUUUGCUCGUUUUCGUCACUUUGA